AUUGUAUCCAAUUGCUGGAAUGUAAUCAGGAACAAAUCUGUGCAGCCCUGGAAAAUGAGGCUGAUACAAAGCUGUGAUUCUCCGGCUAGUGAAUUUCCAGCGCAAGAGAGGGGCUUGCCCACCCCUCCCCAACACGGUGGGGAGACCGGAUGCUUGUUCGCUGUGGGCUGGGGGAGGGGAGUGGGGCAUCCCUGGCACAGGACCAUCCGCAACACAGCUGCUCAUGAUGCAGGAGGCAGGGGAGCCCGGGGUCUGUUUCGAGGGGAAGCAAACUUAAAAGAUGCAAUCUGCAGCAAGUACAUUUGAAUGGGACCUGCAAGACCAAGGAGGAAGUUUCUACCACCGAGCAGCUGGAGGCAGAGGUGGUAGAAGGGAAGUGAGGGAUUGGUACAUUCUAAUGAUCCACAGCUAAACACCUGCCUAAAAGGAGACAGUUAAAGACAAGAGCUCUGGGGGUAGUAUUGCAAUCUAAUAUUGUAGUGUCUCCCCAAAAACAUAUGUCCAUCUAGAACUUCAGAAUGUGACCUUAUUUGGAAAUAGUGUCUUUGCAGAUAUAACAAGCCACGAUGAGGUCAUUCUGGAUUGGGAAGGGCCCUAAAUCCAACAACUGGUGAUUUUAUAAGAAAAAACACACAGAGAUACACCCAGGGAAGAAGGCCAUGUGAUGACUGGGUCAGAGACUGAAGCAAUGAAGCUACAAGUCGAGGAUGCCAAGGAUUGUUGGUGGCCAUCAGAAACCAGGAAGAAGGGAGGAAGGGCUCUACCCAGAGUCUCAGAGGGAGCCUGGCCCUGCUGACACCUCGAUUUCAGAUUUCUGGCCUCUAGAACUGUGAGAGAAUACAUUCCUGUUGUAUGAAGCCACCCGGUUUGUGGUGCUUUGUUAUGGCAGUGUACAGAUAUGAAAGCAACAUAGAUAAGAAAUGUACAAGGUAGAACAUGCUACUUAAAUACAAGGUAGUGAAAUAUUUUCCUGUUGUGAUUUUUCCUUCAAUCUCCCAUGAUUCUCCGGCCUGCCCAAAGUGUUUAUUAAUUAGGUAGGAAACCCUAAAAGGAACCUAGAAGCCUCCUUUCUUUCUGCCUCACAUAGGGCUGUCCUGCAGUCCACAGGCCUGAGUCCACAGAGGCCAGGUCUGUGUUUGCUGCAGGCAGAUGCUUAUUCUCUGAGCUCAGGGGCGAGGAGGACGGAUGAGGGCAUCGAAAGCACUGAGAAAUGUCAGCCCAAUGCUCACUCAGUGGGCAGAGAGAAGGAUUUGCUGCCUAAUGAGAUUUGAAAAAUAUUUUCAAAGUAACUUUAAAGCCACUGGUUAGAAAAUUAGAUAAGAAACACAAUGGGGGCACCUGGGUGGCUCAGUCGGUCACUGGGUUCCCACUGAGUCUGACUUCGGCUCAGGUCAUGAUCUCUCGACUCGUGAUUUGAGCCCCUUAUUGGGCUCUGUGCUGACAGCUCAGAGCCUGGAGCCUGCUAUGGAUUCUGUGUUUCUAUCUCUCUCUGCCACUCCUCUGCUCAUGCUCUGUCUCUCAAAAAUAAGUAAAACAUUAAAAAAUUUAAAAAAAAGAAAGGAACACAAUGAAAGGGGGGAUGAUACCAGGUUAAGAGAGGAAAAGUGAUAUGUAGUAAUGGGGAGGGAGUCUGCCUGAUUUCCCCGUCUCACUAUUCCCCAUCUUUAAAACCUUUAAAAGGCCAGAGAGGUGCCGUUCCUGAUUUGGGGCAUCUGGGUCUACCUUCUUUUGGUCUCAGGUCCUACAAACCCUGCCUCCUACAGGGCAGCACAGCAUUCAAUGAAGGAAUGCUCUUUGCCUUCAAAUAUCUUCCCCACUUACUCUUCCCAACUUAGGAUUUCCCUACCUUAUGUUUCUCUAAUAAUUGACCAGCCCUUUAUUUCCACCCCAAAAUAAAACAAAACACCAAGGAGUUCA
RNAcentral lists this long non-coding RNA (1917 nucleotides) under Felis catus (domestic cat). RNAcentral describes it as "lncRNA (ENSFCAG00000050123.1)". The record is from RNAcentral. Lineage: Eukaryota; Metazoa; Chordata; Mammalia; Carnivora; Felidae.